This 317-nucleotide unclassified non-coding RNA is filed under the name fungal sp. RNAcentral's name for it is "partial internal transcribed spacer region". The stretch from base 1 to 46 matches the Rfam family "Eukaryotic small subunit ribosomal RNA", at positions 1786 to 1831 of the family's 1831-position model. The record is from RNAcentral. Lineage: Eukaryota; Fungi.
AAGUCGUAACAAGGUUUCCGUAGGUGAACCUGCGGAAGGAUCAUCAUCGAAUUUUUCAUCCCCUCCUCCUCCACGGAGGAGGAGGGUCCAUGAUAAACCCUUCUGUGCACCGUAUACCGUUCACUUUGGCUGGCUUUGGUGUGUCGACCACACUCCAACCGUGCGUUCCCCCCUCCUCCUGGUGGGGCUACGCGCGGCGGCCAGCCAGAGUCCUGCGUAAAAAAACUCGUUUUUCUUGAACCCGUCUGAAAAUAUUCUCCUUUGAGAAAUCAAAGAAAACACGAAAACAACUUUCAACAACGGAUCUCUUGGCUCUC